RNAcentral lists this microRNA (25 nucleotides) under Eptesicus fuscus (big brown bat). RNAcentral describes it as "efu-miR-9250". The record is from miRBase by way of RNAcentral. Lineage: Eukaryota; Metazoa; Chordata; Mammalia; Chiroptera; Vespertilionidae.
UGAAGUGCUGCAACUGUAGUCGCUG